ACAGAAAUUUGGUUGAGUCGAUUCAACAAAAUGAAUUGUUGAAUUCAAACCCUUCGGUUUGUUGAACCGUUUAUCAGGUUUUGUCGUACCAACAAUCAGUUUUUGUUGCAAUGACAAAUAUAUUGGACGAUUCAAUAAUCAUGUUGUUGGUUAAGUUUUUUUUUUUAAUUUAACAGUGUAUUGUUUUGCCGGAGUAAACAAGAAACAAUGUCCGAAUGUAAUCGUGACUUACUGCGAAAUUUAAGAAAAUAAACGAAAUAUGUGCGAAUAUCCCACUGAAGUAAACCUUGGUUUCAAAGAAAUUUAAUCUAUGAUACAAUUUAUAUUUCGUAGAAAAUGGUUGCGCACUGCUUUACGGACUUACGGCGAAAAUAAAAUUGAACCCGGUUCCACUUUCAGAGGAUGAAAAUCAGCAGAAUUCCACAUGUUUCGAAUCCUGUCAGGAAUUCAUAUUCCAUCCAGUCUUCCCAACAUAACCUAGUGUGGAUGCCGCCUUCAACGCAGCUGUUGACGGUAAUUCAACGGGGAAGAAACUGGCGAAUUUUUAUGCGUAUUCUUAAUCAAUGUUAAACGUGUUUCAGGAGAUUAUGUUAUGCAUAUGAUGAAAAGCUCGGUAAAUAAAUGCAAAAAAUAUAGA
Long non-coding RNA from Aedes albopictus (Asian tiger mosquito), 637 nucleotides. RefSeq lists it as uncharacterized. The transcript is spliced from 2 exons. The record is from RefSeq and is a predicted model, not a curated record. Lineage: Eukaryota; Metazoa; Arthropoda; Insecta; Diptera; Culicidae.